RNAcentral lists this ribosomal RNA (707 nucleotides) under uncultured Tumebacillus sp. RNAcentral's name for it is "bacterial SSU rRNA". It matches the Rfam family "Bacterial small subunit ribosomal RNA", at positions 63 to 764 of the family's 1533-position model. Lineage: Bacteria; Bacillati; Bacillota; Bacilli; Caryophanales; Alicyclobacillaceae. The record is from RNAcentral.
CGAGCGGACCUUUCGGGGUCAGCGGCGGACGGGUGAGUAACACGUGGGCAAUCUGCCCGAUACUUUGGGAUAACGCUUGGAAACGAGUGCUAAUACCGGAUGCUCUUCUUGGUCGCAUGGCCGAGAAGGAAAAGACGCGUUCGCGUCGGUGUACGGAUGAGCCCGCGGCGCAUUAGCUAGUUGGUGAGGUAACGGCCCACCAAGGCGACGAUGCGUAGCCGACCUGAGAGGGUGACCGGCCACACUGGGACUGAGACACGGCCCAGACUCCUACGGGAGGCAGCAGUAGGGAAUCUUCCACAAUGGGCGAAAGCCUGAUGGAGUAACGCCGCGUGAGUGAUGAAGGCCUUCGGGUUGUACAACUCUGUCAUUCGGGACGAACCGGAGUCUGAGGAAAUGCAGACUCUCUGACGGUACCGGAGGAGGAAGCCCCGGCUAACUACGUGCCAGCAGCCGCGGUAAUACGUAGGGGGCAAGCGUUGUCCGGAUUCACUGGGCGUAAAGCGCGCGCAGGCGGUGAUGUAAGUCUGAGGUGAAAACCCGAAGCUCAACUUUCGGGACUGCCUUGGAUACUGCGUCACUUGAGGAUAGGAGAGGCAAGGGGAAUUCCACCGUGUAGCGGUGAAAUGCGUAGAGAUGUGGAGGAACACCUGUGGCGAAAGGCGCCUUUGCUGGCCUAUUUCUGACGCUGAGGCGCGAAAGCGUGG